RNAcentral lists this ribosomal RNA (253 nucleotides) under uncultured bacterium. RNAcentral's name for it is "partial 16S ribosomal RNA". It matches the Rfam family "Bacterial small subunit ribosomal RNA", at positions 524 to 776 of the family's 1533-position model. The record is from RNAcentral.
AACGAAGGGGGCUAGCGUUUUUCGGAAUUACUGGGCGUAAAGCGCACGCAGGCGGAUUGAUAAGUCAGGGGUGAAAUCCCGGGGCUUAACCUCGGAAUUGCCUUUGAUACUGUCUGUCUUGAGUCCGGGAGAGGUGAGUGGAAUUCCUAGUGUAGAGGUGAAAUUCGUAGAUAUUAGGAAGAACACCAGUGGCGAAGGCGGCUCACUGGCCCGGAACUGACGCUCAUGUGCGAAAGCGUGGGGGGCAAACAGU